UUGAUUUAUUUGCUUGCGCCACUCAGAAAAUACCACGAGGUAAAAACAAGAGUUUGGAGCCUCCGGCGGGCGCCUGAUUCCGGGCACAUAGGCGCCGGGGCACUCCCGCCGAAGCAACGAUAGGUGAGAUUCACAUGGGUUUGGGAGUUUUUACACUCAAUAAUGAUCCCUCCGCUGGUUCACCAACGGAGA
RNAcentral lists this unclassified non-coding RNA (192 nucleotides) under uncultured fungus. RNAcentral describes it as "sequence contains ITS1". The record is from RNAcentral. Lineage: Eukaryota; Fungi.